This is a long non-coding RNA of Suncus etruscus (white-toothed pygmy shrew), 901 nucleotides long. RefSeq lists it as uncharacterized. Lineage: Eukaryota; Metazoa; Chordata; Mammalia; Eulipotyphla; Soricidae. The record is from RefSeq and is a predicted model, not a curated record. The transcript is spliced from 4 exons.
AUGGGACUAUUAUAUAUAUGUGUGUGCUCAUAUAUAUUUAUGUAUAUUAGAAAGUGUAGAUUUGUCAUCACUUCAUUUCAUUCAUUAAAGAGAGAUGCAACCCACAUUUAACUUUAUUUUCAUUAUUUUAAGUCCCCCUCCCUUCUUUUUACUGACUAUCUGGAUGAGAAAUUUAAGUAAGUACUAUGAUGUCCUGCAAAGAGACUAAAUCUGUCAUCACCUUAAUCACAGUUUACACAGUUUGUCAGACCACAUCACCUUGACAGAUCAGACUGAAUUACUUCGAUGACUGGCAAAUGGGUGCCACUUGUGGUAGAAAUGAAAGCAACCAGAUUGAAGAGUGUGCUAAGGUGUGAAGAAGAUGAAAACAGAACUUUUUCUUUUCUCUAGAAGUCGAAAUCAGGCAUCUCUAUCUGCAGAGUUUUCCCUACCAUCCAGUUUGGUGCUACAGAAUGAUUGGCAGAAAUCUUACUUUUCAUAAAGAGAUUGGCUCAGAGGGACUUUAUGCCUGCUUAUCAAGUUCAAGGGAAUAAAUGCAAACUCCUUACCUGGGUAAGAUGCACCUUCUCUAGGCCCAGGGUGGACUGAACAUCUGCUCACUGAAUCUAUGCUUUAUAUCAUCUUUCAUAUUUUCUUGUUGGAAAGACUAGCAUUGGAGAAUCAUUGUGUUACUGCCAGCAAAAAAAUGAAAGCACAUCGAUACACUGAGAAUAAUACCACAGUGACCAACAGUUAAUGAUACCCAUAUACACAAGUUUCAGCAAGAGAAGUUUUCAAGAUACAAUGCCUCACUGGCCAGAAAUCAGAAAACAUUUUAUGAUUAAUCUGCUUAAACUCAUAGAACUCCUACAAAUUAACAUGCAUCAAAACAUGCAUUAUCUUCUCAACUUAAUUGAGUAUU